This 495-nucleotide ribosomal RNA is filed under the name uncultured bacterium. Its description in RNAcentral is "partial 16S ribosomal RNA". It matches the Rfam family "Bacterial small subunit ribosomal RNA", at positions 28 to 507 of the family's 1533-position model. The record is from RNAcentral.
GAUGAACGCUGGCGGCGUGCCUAAUACAUGCAAGUAGAACGCUUAAGGAGUAAAUUUCUCUUCUGGAUGAGUUGCGAACGGGUGAGUAACGCGUAGGUAACCUGCCUGGUAGCGUGGGAUAACUAUUGGAAACGAUAGCUAAUACAGCAUGACAUCAGUUAUUGCAUGAUAACUGUUUAAAAGGGGCAACUGCUCCACUACCAGCUGGACCUGCGUUGUAUUAGCUAGUUGGUGAGGUAACGGCUCACCAAGGCGACGAUACAUAGCCGACCUGAGAGGGUGAUCGGCCACACUGGGACUGAGACACGGCCCAGACUCCUACGGGAGGCAGCAGUAGGGAAUCUUCGGCAAUGGACGGAAGUCUGACCGAGCAACGCCGCGUGAGUGAAGAAGGUUUUCGGAUCGUAAAGCUCUGUUGUAAGAGAAGAACGAGUGUGAGAGUGGAAAGUUCACACUGUGACGGUAUCUAACCAGAAAGAGACGGCUAACUACGUG